GACGAACGCUGGCGGCGUGCUUAACACAUGCAAGUCGAACGAUGACGACCGAGCUUGCUCGGUCUGAUUAGUGGCGAACGGGUGAGUAACACGUGAGCAACCUGCCCUUCACUCUGGGAUAACCUCGGGAAAUCGGGGCUAAUACCGGAUAUGAGCUCCUGUCGCAUGGCGGGUGUUGGAAGUUUUUCGGUGAAGGAUGGGCUCGCGGCCUAUCAGUUUGUUGGUGAGGUAGUGGCUCACCAAGGCGAUGACGGGUAGCCGGCCUGAGAGGGCGACCGGCCACACUGGGACUGAGACACGGCCCAGACUCCUACGGGAGGCAGCAGUGGGGAAUAUUGCACAAUGGGCGAAAGCCUGAUGCAGCGACGCCGCGUGAGGGAUGACGGCCUUCGGGUUGUAAACCUCUUUCAGCAGGGAAGAAGCGAAAGUGACGGUACCUGCAGAAGAAGCGCCGGCUAACUACGUG
RNAcentral lists this ribosomal RNA (466 nucleotides) under uncultured bacterium. RNAcentral's name for it is "partial 16S ribosomal RNA". It matches the Rfam family "Bacterial small subunit ribosomal RNA", at positions 28 to 507 of the family's 1533-position model. The record is from RNAcentral.